Molecule: ribosomal RNA, 305 nt
Filed under: uncultured bacterium
Lineage: Bacteria
Description: bacterial SSU rRNA
Rfam family: Bacterial small subunit ribosomal RNA
Source: RNAcentral
GUUUCCUACGGGAGGCAGCAGUGGGGGAUAUUGCACAAUGGGCGAAAGCCUGAUGCAGCGACGCCGCGUGAGCGAUGAAGGCCUUCGGAUCGUAAAGCUCUGUCCUCAGGGAAGACAAUGACGGUACUUGAGGAGGAAGCCCCGGCUAACUACGUGCCAGCAGCCGCGGUAAUACGUAGGGGGCUAGCGUUAUCCGGAAUUACUGGGCGUAAAGGGUGCGUAGGUGGUUUCUUAAGUCAGAGGUGAAAGGCUACGGCUCAACCGUAGUAAGCCUUUGAAACUGGGGAACUUGAGUGCAGGAGAGG